GAGGUGAAGGACGCCGUUAAAGCGGACACCACAUAGACAGCGAAGAAGAACACAAAGCUGCUGGUGACGACGGCAAGUUUUGUUGAGUUCUACGGAAGUCAAUUCAUAUCAUAACUGCAUGAAAAUGGGAAAAACCACAACUUCACAGGCUGUGGCAGUGUGUCAUCCUUUGGUGGAAUGGAUUGAAGACCUCGUGGAAUGUAUGGAACGCUUUUCCUGAAAUUACAGGCACCUUUAUUUCCCUUCGCUUGUCCACCACUUGAAAUCGCCAAUGCACAGAUUCAUCAGCUUCAUUAUACAUUGCCUCAGGUUUGGUGCAGUGUUGGGGAGUCCACACAAUCUCCGGAUGGCCUUGACUAGCAGCGCUUCCUCGUCCAAUUCACCAAGUCUUGGCUACGAUAACAGGGGCAAGAACCCUGAACUGAUAAUGACCAUAACUUGCGAAAGGUGCCCAGAUCACCCAAACUCUGUUUGUGUUAAUAAUAACAACACUAUGCUUUAAUGUGUUAUGUUGUUCUGUUUAUUUAGUUAUUUAUUUAUCUCGAGUAUCAGACUCUUUCCUGUUUAGUUCAUCUUGCAUAUAUGUACAGUACAUACAGUUUGAUAAAAUAUAUACAUGCAGAUAUAUGUACAGUAUAUACAGUUUGAUAAAAUAUAUACAUGCAGAUAUAUGUACAGUAUAUACAGUUUGAUAACUUUUUAAAUUAAAAAUAUAUACAUGCAGAUAUAUGUACGAAAGAAAUAAACUUAACUGAACUUAAGAGCCCCGUCCACAGUAGUCCCCAGAUUAGAUUGUUUCAGUCUGGCAGGAAGCCAAAUAUUUGGAACAAGCCGUAAGAAAAGAAGUUGAGUAUUGUUGAUCGUUUCUGAGAAGAGGUACGUGCUAUACAUACCAUGUAAUGGAACAUACCUAGAAGAGGUACGUGCUAUACAUACCAUGUAAUGGAACAUACCUAGAAGAGGUACGUGCUAUACAUACC
Molecule: long non-coding RNA, 980 nt
Organism: Haliotis rubra (blacklip abalone)
Lineage: Eukaryota; Metazoa; Mollusca; Gastropoda; Lepetellida; Haliotidae
Exons: 4
Source: RefSeq, a predicted model, not a curated record